RNAcentral lists this ribosomal RNA (431 nucleotides) under uncultured bacterium. RNAcentral's name for it is "partial 16S ribosomal RNA". It matches the Rfam family "Bacterial small subunit ribosomal RNA", at positions 29 to 507 of the family's 1533-position model. The record is from RNAcentral.
AACGAACGCUGGCGGCAGGCUUAACACAUGCAAGUCGAGCGCCCCGCAAGGGGAGCGGCAGACGGGUGAGUAACGCGUGGGAACGUACCUUUUGGUUCGGAACAACUCCGGGAAACUGGAGCUAAUACCGGAUAAGCCCUAACGGGGAAAGAUUUAUCGCCGAAAGAUCGGCCCGCGUCUGAUUAGCUAGUUGGUGAGGUAACGGCUCAACAAGGCGACGAUCAGUAGCUGGUCUGAGAGGAUGAUCAGCCACACUGGGACUGAGACACGGCCCAGACUCCUACGGGAGGCAGCAGUGGGGAAUAUUGGACAAUGGGCGCAAGCCUGAUCCAGCCAUGCCGCGUGAGUGAUGAAGGCCUUAGGGUUGUAAAGCUCUUUUGUCCGGGAAGAUAAUGACUGUACCGGAAGAAUAAGCCCCGGCUAACUUCGUG